GCCACGCUAUAUAUAGUGUAUCUAGUAGCCAUGCCAUAUAUAGUGUAUCCAGUAGCCAUGCUAUAUAUAGUGUAUCUAGUAGCCAUGCUAUAUAUAGUGUAUCUAGCAGCCAUGCUAUAUAUAGUGUAGAGGCCAUGCUAUAUAUAGUGUAUCUAGUAGCCAUGCUAUAUAUAGUGUAGAGACCAUGCUAUAUAUAGUGUAUCUAGUAGCCAUGCUAUAUAUAGUGUAGAAGCCAUGCUAUAUAUAGUGUAUCUAGUAGCCAUGCUAUAUAUAGUGUAUCCAGCAGCCAUGCUAUAUAUAGUGUAGAGGCCAUGCCAUAUAUAGUGUAUCCAGUAGCCAUGCUAUAUAUAGUGUACCAGUAGCCAUGCUAUAUAUAGUGUAUCUAGUAGCCAUGCUAUAUAUAGUGUAGAGGCCACGCCAUAUAUAGUGUAUCUAGUAGCCAUGCCAUAUAUAGUGUGUCUAGUAGCCAUGCUAUAUAUAGUGUAUCUAGUAGCCAUGCUAUAUAUAGUGUAGAGGCCAUGCUAUAUAUAGUGUAUCUAGUAGCCACGCUAUAUAUAGUGUAGAGGCCAUGCUAUAUAUAGUGUAUCUAGUAGCCAUGCCAUAUAUAGUGUAUCCAGCAGCCAUGCCAUAUAUAGUGUAUCUAGUAGCCAUGCUAUAUAUAGUGUAGCGGCCACGCUAUAUAUAGUGUAUCUAGUAGCCAUGCUAUAUAUAGUGUAUCUAGUAGCCAUGCCACAUAUAGUGCAGAGGCCAUGCUAUAUAUAGUGUAUCCAGUAGCCAUGCCAUAUAUAGUGUACUAGCAGCCACGCUCUAUAUAGUGUAUCUAGUAGCCAUGCCAUAUAUAGUGUAGAGGCCAUGCUAUAUAUAGUGUAUCUAGUAGCCAUGCCUAUAUAUAGUGUAGAGGCCAUGCCAUAUAUAGUGUAUCCAGCAGCCAUGCUAUAUAUAGUGUAGAGGCCACGCCAUAUAAGUGUAUCUAGUAGCCAUGCUAUAUAUAGUGUAUCUAGUAGCCAUGCUAUAUAUAGUGCAUCCAGUAGCCAUGCUAUAUAUAGUGUAUCUAGUAGCCAUGCUAUAUAUAGUGUAGAG
Molecule: long non-coding RNA, 1080 nt
Filed under: Salmo salar (Atlantic salmon)
Lineage: Eukaryota; Metazoa; Chordata; Actinopteri; Salmoniformes; Salmonidae
Description: lncRNA (ENSSSAG00000102592.1)
Source: RNAcentral